AACGAACGUUGGCGGCGUGGAUUAGGCAUGCAGGUCGAACGAAUCCCUUGGGGCUUGCUCCGAGGGGGAAGUGGCGAAAGGGGCAGUAAGGCGUGGGUAACCUACCUUGGGGACGGGGAUAGCCUUCCUAACGGAAGGGUAAUACCUGGCGAUGUAAUUGGUCUGCAUGGAUCGAUUACCAAAUGAAUUUCGCCCUGAGAGGGGCCCACGUAGUAUUAGCUUGUUGGUGAGGUAACGGCUCACCAAGGCCAAGAUGCUUAGCGGGUGUGAGAGCACGACCCGCGCCACUGGCACUGAGACACUGGCCAGACUCCUACGGGAGGCUGCAGUCGAGGAUCUUCGGCAAUGGGCGCAAGCCUGACCGAGCGACGCCGCGUGUGCGAUGAAGGCCUUCGGGUUGUAAAGCACUGUCGAGGGGGAGAAAGCCGCAAGGUUGAUCAAUCCCUGGAGGAAGCACGGGCUAAGUUCGUGCCAGCAGCCGCGGUAAGACGAACCGUGCGAACGUUGUUCGGAAUCACUGGGCUUAAAGGGCGCGUAGGCGGGUCUCCAAGUCUGUGGUGAAAGCCUCCAGCUUAACUGGAGAAGUGCCGUGGAUACUGGGG
This 602-nucleotide ribosomal RNA is filed under the name uncultured bacterium. RNAcentral describes it as "bacterial SSU rRNA". It matches the Rfam family "Bacterial small subunit ribosomal RNA", at positions 28 to 638 of the family's 1533-position model. The record is from RNAcentral.